Molecule: long non-coding RNA, 355 nt
Filed under: Cricetulus griseus (Chinese hamster)
Lineage: Eukaryota; Metazoa; Chordata; Mammalia; Rodentia; Cricetidae
Description: lncRNA (ENSCGRG00015037378.1)
Source: RNAcentral
GGCUUCUCUAGAAGGGCUGUGUCAGGGAUAUGUUUCACUUCCUGGUUUUUAAAGUAAUAGAGUAUUUCUUCUCCUCUUAAACAUGCUGAUGUUUGUGCCACAUCCUCUGAGUACCCUCUGUAGGUGAAGACAGAUUACAGAGGGGAGCAGAACACAACCUUCAGAUACAGGUCUCCAUGGGAGCCAUAUGAAGACUCAAGCCCAACAGUGCGAGCAGGACCAGAGAUGGCAUGGCCCAGAAUCUUCCAGAAAGCUAUAAAGAAGGCUUUAACAGAAAUGGACCAAAUUUUCAGAAGAAGAAAUCUCACAGUUUUGGGCUAACCCAGACGACUGGGUACUUCUGACAUCAGUCAGG